UUUUUUGACGGUUUCAGGUCAGCUUCAAGUUGAGUCUUAUGUGUGUGCACUUAGCAGUGUGUAUACCUUUGGCCCCACUUUUCGCGCGGAGAAUUCUCACACUUCCAGGCAUUUGGCUGAGUUUUGGAUGGUAGAACCUGAGAUAGCGUUUGCAGAGUUGAAGGUAUAUAAAAAUUUGAACUCAUUCAUAAGCUGAACUGUUUAAUUUGUCCAGUGCAAAGCUGCCUACUCUACAUGCUUUUAUAAGAUUUGAUGUUUUUAAUUUUUUGUGCUGGAAGCAGUAAAGUCCAUGGUUUUUGUGUUUUAUGUGUAGGAUGAUAUGAAUUGUGCCGAGGCGUAUGUGAAAUUUUUGUGUCAGUGGUUACUUGACAACUGCCUUGAGGAUAUGGAGUUUAUGGCUGAUAAGUUUGAUAAAGGUUGCAUUGAUCGUUUGAAGUUGGUUGCUUCCACCCCCUUUAUUCGAGUUUCGUAUACAGAAGCAGUGGAAAUACUAGAAGACGCUGUGAAGAAUGGUAAAAAAUUUGAGAAUGAAGUGAAAUGGGGUAUUGACUUAGCAUCUGAGCAUGAAAGGUACUUUGUAAUCUCUUUUUGGCCUUUUGGUCCAGCUCUUGUUCUUAUUAAUUUGUGUUGUGUGACAUCUUGAUGGAAUGGUGUUAUGCAGAUUCCUGACAGAGGUAAAAUUUCAGAAGCCAGUCAUUGUCUAUAACUACCCAAAAGAAAUCAAAGCAUUCUACAUGCGGCUCAAUGAUGACUUAAAAACAGUGGCUGCUAUGGAUGUGCUUGUACCAAAGGUGGCGUUCUGUGUUUUAUUUUGAACAUGUUUAUGGUGGAUAGCUAUAUUGAUGGUUUUUUGGCAUAAUAGAAGCAUGUAUUUAAGUAAAUGCAAUUUUUCAGGUGGGAGAGCUAAUUGGUGGAAGCCAAAGAGAAGAGCGUUAUGAUGUUAUUCAGUCAAGGUUCAUAUAUAUAUAUAUAUAUAUAUAUAUAUAUAUAUAUAAUAUGUUUACUGUUUUCCUGAUUUCUUUCCUUUGGUUAAUUGAUAUCAUUGGAAGUUAUUUGACUUAUAUUUUUAUGUUGCAGAAUAAAGGAAAUGGGUUUGCCUCUUGAGCCAUACGAGUGGUACCUUGAUCUGAGGCGGUAUGGAACAGUGAAACAUGCGGGAUUUGGGCUUGGCUUUGAAAGAAUGAUUCUCUUUGCAACGGGCCUGGAAAAUAUUAGAGAUGUGAUCCCCUUUCCACGAUAUCCUGGCAGAGCAGAUCUAUGAUCUUU
RNAcentral lists this long non-coding RNA (1266 nucleotides) under Vigna radiata. RNAcentral's name for it is "long non-coding RNA (VRAD_LNC007611)". Lineage: Eukaryota; Viridiplantae; Streptophyta; Magnoliopsida; Fabales; Fabaceae. The record is from RNAcentral.